Gasterosteus aculeatus aculeatus (three-spined stickleback) is the source of this 6484-nucleotide long non-coding RNA. Lineage: Eukaryota; Metazoa; Chordata; Actinopteri; Perciformes; Gasterosteidae. The record is from Ensembl.
GAUAUAAUAUUCGGGGCUGGAUCUGGAGGAGCUCGAGGAGGCGGCAACUAUCGUGGCCGAGGAAGAGGAGGAGGAGGAAGAAGAAGAUGGAGCAGCCUCCGACUGCGAUCCGAUAUCCCACAGCAGCAGCAGCAGUGGUGACUCGUCUGGCGAGAGCGAGGAAUCAGAGGCUGAAGGGCAAAGCUGCACCGAAUCCAAGGAGGGAGGGGGCGGAGCAGAAGGAGGGGGGACGUCUAAGGACAACCCUCCGCAGCCCCCACCCGCCCUGGCUGCAUCCCCCGUCCCCCGGGCGCCCGCGAGCACCCUCCCCUCUGCCUCACAGGGCUCCCGCCUGCUGAUCCAGGAGCUGGGGGAGCAGAUGCAGGAGGAGCUGAGGAUCUCCAGCCGCCACGGAGCAGAGAGAACGUCGGGGAGCGUCGGCGGCACUUUGUUGGAGCCGAGCAGAAACCCGCUGCUCAUCGUGGCAACGCGGGAGGAGAGCGACGUGGUCCUCUGAGAGGCGCCGCGGUGGAUCCGCAAAGACCGCCGACUGUUGACUCUGUGUAUCUUGAUCUAAAGGACCUCAUUGUCUAUAAAGAAGGAUACUAUGAAUGUUCUCAACCGCUUACUUCAUUUUGUUGUGGUUGCCGUCUUCUGCCUCAUGUGUUAUCUGACUUUCGUGCUACUGGGAGAGACGUCCUCUGCAAAUAUAUUUUUCCCUCACUGAACAUGCUUGAGUUUUUUACUUAUUGAAAGUAAUUCCAGUAGUUUGAACUAGACCCGCUGACUUCUCUCCUGUAUCGCCGUGGUAACAAACUGCAUGAUAAAUGCAUGUUGGGCUCGACCGAACCGAACAGGAGGGUUGUUCCGAGCGCAGCGAUUGACAGACGAGGUGCUUUCAGAGUUACUUUCAUGGCGCUUUCUUUUCCCAACGAAUAAAGGCUGUAAGCGCUCUCCCAGAGCCUGGCUUCAUGGGGGAAGUAAGGGAGACGGGGGAGAUUGAUUCCUGGGGCCCGGACGUCUGAGCGCUGUCGACUCGGCGAGAGAAACAAACAUGGAGUCACAUGUCAGGCAGAUGGAUGAGGCCUCUGAGCCAGUUCGUUUUUGAGCAAUAAGAGACCCCCCCCCCCCCCCGAGGACAGCCGAAACAUGACAUGUGACACCCAUACAUUGGCUGCACCGAUAUCCACCCACCCUGCGGUACAAUAAUAAAGAGUUUAAUGUGUGUCCCCAGAUUGGCCUCGGGUUCAUUAAUUGAGAAAUGGAUUUGUUGCCGCUGGCUUUUUACAUUGUAACUUGUGUUACUGAGGUCGACGGCGUUGCUACGACACCUCCUGAGAGACGACCUCCCUGCAGCGACCCCUUUGGGAGCGCUUGUCUGGAGGCUGCACUGCUCCCCCAGGUGGCGCUCUCCUGCUCCCCCGCUGGGGUUUCACAUUCAUUAAGUGACUCCGAGCUCGCCUGCCGUUUGUCAUUUUAAAGUGGCCGCCACCCCCCCCACAUUAGCGCAGUUGUCUGGGAGCCUGACCGGGGAUCCGCGGCCCAGCGCCACUUCGCUCGGUUCCUCUGCAAUUAAUGCUCCUCGCCGACGGACAUUUUUCAAGAGACGAGCCCGCUGCUCUUAAUGAAUGUAGCUGAUAAAUUAUACAAGGGCGGUAAUAAAUGUGAUGUCUAUGCUCUGUUUUCACUUGGAUUUGAUAAAUCAGCCCUUUACUGGUGUAGUGAAAGUGCACUUUGACCCUCAAGGGUCUAAGAAAGUGGAGUAAUGUGUUGAGGACUCAUGUGGGCCACUGGGAUAAUUAUCCCAUUAGCAACAGCACCUGCCAUAUAAGGGCAGGCUGCGUAUAUAUAUAUAUAUAUACAUUACAGGUCAUUUAGCUGACGCUUUUAUCCAAAGCAACUUACAUUACAUUUUCAUCCCAUGUUUUUUUUUUCAUUUUUGCCCCGGGAGCACUUAGGGGUCAGGUGUCUUGCUCAGGGACUCUUCAACCUGGGGCAGCCGGGGCUCAAACCACCGUCUCUACCCGUUCGCCACAACGACCAGGGAGCACAAGUUCGAGGGUGAGCCGAGUAGAGGAGGGGCAAGGUUCUUGGCCAUGUCAACUCUCCCAAUCACCUGACCUAAACCCAGUAGAACACCUCAUGGAACCACCAUCACAUAGAAACACCAUCAGAUAGAAACACCAUCACAUAGAACCACCAUCAGAUAGAACCACCAUCCACAGAAGCCUGUGGGGAGGGACAGCACAGAGACUUUAGGAGAGGGUAAUGUUGGUUUAUGAGUACAGUAAUAUGAUUAAUAUCUAAAAUAAUAAUGAUGUUGAUGAUGGCAGCAGCAGGCGUCAGCAGGGCCACGGCAGAUGUUAGGACCAGGGUCCAGAAGGAACCACGAUCUACGGGGACCUGCUAGGGGAGAAAGCACAAAAAAAACUCCCGGAAAGAAGCUGAAUUAGUCAUGUCCAUUAAUAAAACGUGGAUUAUGGUAGAAGGAGAGCGUGAGAGAGGAGCUCGGUGUGUCCUAAGAAGUCUAAGCCUAUAGCAGCUUAACUAAGGGCUGGUCCGGGCUGACCUGAGCCAGCCCUAACUACAGGCACAAUCAAAGAGGAACGUUCUGACCGAGAGGAAAGGGCGGCGACGCGCUGCCUCCGGUUGAUUGUAAUAGAAAACUCAAUCUCCUCUGCUGAGAGCCAAAGUGAUUCUGGUACUUGAAAAGAUUAAUAGCCCUCAAGCAGAAAUGAAUCAGGUGACCCCCUCCCGACCCCCAAUGGGCGUGCAGAUAGGAAUCCCGUGCUUCCCUCUUUCCCUCCACGUGGCCUUUUGUCGUGUCGCUCGGCCGGCGGAGAGACGCGGAGCUCCGGCGCUCCAGAAGACAGAAAGAGAAGAAAGGGAAGCAGGUGGCUGCUGCUGCUCGCCUCGUCCUUCUGGCUUUUGUCGUCCGCCGCCUCGUGAGUGACCGCCGCCUGUUAACGGGGGAAUGAGAGCAUGGGACGUUCCAGUGUCUCUGACGGUGGACGGAUUAUCUAAAUUGGCUAUUUUCAUGCUCUUAACCACAAAAGGAACAUGGAAAUACCCCCAGUUCCGCAUAGUGUGGAAGUGUGCGCGUGUGUUGACAGUGGCGGCAUCCACUUGACGUCAGUAGAUUCACUCUAAUUGGUGUGAGCAAUGUCCGUUAAAUCACUCGCUAACUCUCGGUGGACAUGUGCUAUCAGGCGGCUUAAUGCUGCAAAUUGCCUCUGCCGUGUCUGUGUGUGUCUGUGUGUGUGUGUGUGUGUGUGUGUGUGUUCUACCACCUUGUUAAGUGCGUUGGAUGUCGCUGGAUGUCAAAGUGGAGGAGAGUUACGCGGAUGAGCAGCAACACACGGAGGUUCUUCCAUUCUUUAAACUUCAUGUGUUCUGCUCAGCGGGCGCCGUCACGGAGCUGCAGCUCCUCAACAUCUCGCACAGGUAAACUCUUCUAAUGGGGCUGUUUGCACCGACUGCGCCGCCGCCGCAAGCCCGAUAUCCCAGUAUUCACUCUGCAGUUGUUCCUCAUCUGAGCCAGUGUGUGGUUUUGUUUGCAGCUAAAACAGCUGUCAAACGUGGUCAGUGUUUCAGCGAGAGAACGGGGCUGAGGGAGUUGGGAACAACCAAGCGACGGCCGCGCGGUGUAGUUUGCCUCCGUCCGGCUUCUUCGCGAAGUUGAGUCCUUUCGUGACUUCCGAAAGCGAAAGCGAGGUUGGGAAAUCCAAACAAAGCUCAGGGAAGCUCGGCUGGUCGAUGUCAACAAGAUGCAAAUCGUCUGCCUCUCAGAGGAAGAAGUGAUGUCGGGGUUCGCUCGGCCUCGGGUUUCGCGGGACGGUUCCCCCCCCUCCCCCGGCGAGGCUGAGCGUCGGACUAAUGAGGCCUCCCGGAUGUUGCCUUGUUCCAACCAGGCGGUGAACAAAGCUUCCCCCGACGCCGCCGACACAGAGAUGAGAAGCUCCCGGGAGUCGACACAGACGCACACUCCCUCCUCUUUUAUUAAAUCUGCUUCUGUUGACGUGUCCGAAAGCAAGCAAACAAACCCGUGGACUUUCCACCCUCACCGUCCUCCUCCUCUCUUCCCCCCCUUCGUCUGCCGCACUUUCUUUAACCUGCUCUUUCUAUUUCACGCUCUGUCACCCCCCCGAAUCCCACCCCACACUCUCACUUCUGGCCUUCUCUCUUAUCUCCACCCGACUACUCCGCCGGAUGUCUUUCACGUGGCGUCAGCCGAGCCGUGCACAUCCCACCACUUUUCAACCGCUACACACAUCGCACAUCGCACACGUUGGCCUCCCAGCCCACCACACCUCCUCCCCCCGGGGUGAGUUACAUGAAAGCAGAUACCCUCACAUGCGUCUCCAAGCCGAUCCUGUCAGCAUGUCACGGAUCGGCCACCCGCCGAGUUUCAAUCGCUGCUCUCUGGCGCGGAGACGUGUAGAUUACAUCAGCGCCGUGACUUCCAGCCGACACGCGGCAUCGACGGGGCGGGUGAAACGUGGGAGCUUACGGGGAAGAAAAGAGGAAAGUCUGUUAGAAAAGGUCCGUCUGAACUUUCUAGUUGGAAAGUCUCAUCAAAGAAGCAGAUUUGGGGAAAAGCUGAAAGCGACUAAAGCGUUGGUACAUUUAACGCAGACUGUAAGGCCUCGCCCCCCCCGACGUCCAUGACCACGUGACUUGCAGAUCAGUGGAUUUCUCUGACAUCGGAGCAAUGGAAUACGCAUGUUGCAUAAGUUGUUGCGGCGUGGAGCAGUGGGAACAGGGUCAGAUCAGAUAAGAUAAGGUGGAAUAAAUGUAUCUGCAGCAGCGAGGACUCUGCACUCUGUAGGAGGGAGGAAGCCGUCAGAUCACCACUUGCAGGACUGUUGGUGGAUUUGUUUACUUGCAACGCUGUUGACCUGUGAACCCUGGUUGAGUGGCUACUUCAUCGGACCUUGAGUCCAAACGACUUGGGAGAACUUUGCUCUCUGAAGCCGUGCUGGUUGUUUGCAUUGGUGCUUUGAAGCAAGGAGAAAUGUUUCUUCAGGAAUGUUCUCAGUAUGUGAAUACAGCUUAUUCUGCCAACCUUGUAUCACUGUUUUAUGCUGCAAACAUGUUGGUAAGAAUAGCGACUGUUCUGGGAUCCGGCUCCACGCUGGUGCCUUUGGUUAUCAUGGAGAUCAGGAGCAGACCAGUGCAGUGUCCAUUACCCUCAGAAAGCGCAGCCGACAGCUUGCUCUGGAACCAUAUUGCGCGUUGACUCGAGGGAAGCGGAGUUACCUGAAUAUGACCAGCAGCGAUAGUGAAUGCUGUAAGAAGCCCUGAGGCCCCGCCCCCUGCUUCUGCUCCCAGCGCCGCGUUUAAAGUUUAUUAUUGUUGAACGCGUCCUAAUUGCACCAGCUUUGAGCUCCUCGGGGGGCAUCUGCACACCAGCCAACUGGGAAGUGCACCGGCUGAACGAUUAAAGAGGUAUGUGAAGGACACACAUGCACACACGCAGACACGCAGACAUGCACACAUGCACACAUGCACACAUGCACACAUGCACACAUGCACACAUGCACACAUGCACACAUGCACACAUGCAGACAUGCAGAGAUUCCUUGGUUCAUAGUGAGCAGACAGUUUGCUUGACAUUUAACUAGAGACUCACGCUGCCUCCUGGGUCGUGUUGCAGACGUUCCCACUCAAAAGAUCUUGGAGGAACAGUGUGUUGGAUUUGGGGGAUUUAUUGGCAGAAAGGGGAUAUAACAUUAACAACGAUUCAUUAGUGAACCUGAAACUAAGAAUCACUGUUCUCAUCUGCUUAGAUGAGCAGUUAUCUACAUAUGGAGCUCAAGGUACUAAAUCCGCCAUGUUUCUACAGCAACCCAGAAGGACCAAGCACCGGCUCUAAAUAGUCCCUUUGAGACGUCUUCCUUACCCGAAGGUCCACGUGGUUCUCCCACAUGCUUGGAAAGACAAGAGUUUAAGUUUAAUAGGUUGGAUGCAAUUUGGGGAGAAAGUCUGGCCUGAAGGUGCAUGUUCCUCUUAAAGAUGUCCAAGCCCUGAGUGUGUAGCCCUAACAUGGACUGCGUGCGUCUCUGCGGUUGAGUCAGCGGCCUUCACACAUCGGGAUGCUGGCAUCACUGGCCGAUGUACUCGUGUGCUUUCACAUUCCUCCCUCGGCCCGGCGGUAAAGUCAGGACAGGCACGACGUUUUCCAAGUGUAGAAAAAUAUGAGAUAAUGUGUCAUUUCGCCUUAAGGGGUCAAGAGGGAUUUGCUAAACAAAGGCUCAUUAUUCAGAACAAACUGCUGCUCUCGUUUAGUAAACCCAGUGGAAUAAAGCUGCAGAAGUAAAGCAGUGAGCUGCCAGAAGAGAAAAAAAACAUUCGAUGGCAAAUGAUUCCAUGUCCUCACAUGCUGAGUAGCUUUAAAUAAAGGUACAUACAUUAGUAUCCGUUGUUGUUUCCACAGCAAAAGGAAAAAAACAUUUUCAAAGCACUUUCAUCCAAAGGAAGUAAAGCGAUGGAUUAUUAUGGAUCC